GGCUGGACUGAAGGAUCCAGACUGGAGACUGGAAGCUCUCAGAAAGAAAAGUGUGUGUGAGCGAUGAAGAGGGGGAGGUGAGGAAGACGGAGCAAAACGUCCAGAUCCAAGAGGUUCUCCCAGUCAGAGGCAGCAGCUUACCGGCGCUUCCUGCUCCAGAGGUGAUCACGUUACGCGUGGCUCGUCCUGAAUGAGGCUCAGGUAGAUGUGGAACGAUGGAGAGGUUCUCCUGCCGCUGGAUCCUUCUGACUGGAAGCUUUAAUUUGCUGGUUCUCUGUCAACUUGAGACUCAGAGCAACUUCACCUUCAUGAACUCAUCAUCACCUCAACUCAUCAUCACAGAGACCAAGAGGAGCGUCUCCACAUAAACUCAGCUGGUUUUCAUUUACUCCAGGCUGAAAGAACCAGGAAGAGAGGAAUGUAGAAAGGUGGGGAUCAGGCUUUAACUGUUAGUGUAACGCUGGACACUUGACCGAUUGCUGCAUCCUCAGUGUACAAAGAAGCAUUAUUGCAGAUUCUUCCUCCAACCA
Long non-coding RNA from Xiphophorus hellerii (green swordtail), 530 nucleotides. RefSeq lists it as uncharacterized. Lineage: Eukaryota; Metazoa; Chordata; Actinopteri; Cyprinodontiformes; Poeciliidae. The record is from RefSeq and is a predicted model, not a curated record. The transcript is spliced from 3 exons.